UGACGGAGCACGCCGCGUGAGUGAAGAAGGUUUUCGGAUCGUAAAGCUCUGUUGUCAGGGAAGAACAAGUACGGAAGUAACUGUCCGUACCUUGACGGUACCUGACCAGAAAGCCACGGCUAACUACGUGCCAGCAGCCGCGGUAAUACGUAGGUGGCAAGCGUUGUCCGGAAUUAUUGGGCGUAAAGCGCGCGCAGGCGGCUUCUUAAGUCUGAUGUGAAAGCCCACGGCUCAACCGUGGAGGGUCAUUGGAAACUGGGAGGCUUGAGUGCAGAAGAGGAGAGCGGAAUUCCACGUGUAGCGGUGAAAUGCGUAGAGAUGUGGAGGAACACCAGUGGCGAAGGCGGCUCUCUGGUCUGUAACUGACGCUGAGGCGCGAAAGCGUGGGGAGCGAACAGGAUUAGAUACCCUGGUAGUCCACGCCGUAAACGAUGAGUGCUAAGUGUUGGAGGGUUUCCGCCCUUCAGUGCUGCAGCUAACGCAUUAAGCACUCCGCCUGGGGAGUACGGCCGCAAGGCUGAAACUCAAAGGAAUUGACGGGGGCCCGCACAAGCGGUGGAGCAUGUGGUUUAAUUCGAAGCAACGCGAAGAACCUUACCAGGUCUUGACAUCCCGCUGACCGGUCUGGAGACAGGCCUUUCCCUUCGGGGACAGCGGUGACAGGUGGUGCAUGGUUGUCGUCAGCUCGUGUCGUGAGAUGUUGGGUUAAGUCCCGCAACGAGCGCAACCCUUGAUCUUAGUUGCCAGCAUUCAGUUGGGCACUCUAAGGUGACUGCCGGUGACAAACCGGAGGAAGGUGGGGAUGACGUCAAAUCAUCAUGCCCCUUAUGACCUGGGCUACACACGUGCUACAAUG
RNAcentral lists this ribosomal RNA (856 nucleotides) under Pseudobacillus badius. Its description in RNAcentral is "bacterial SSU rRNA". It matches the Rfam family "Bacterial small subunit ribosomal RNA", at positions 384 to 1232 of the family's 1533-position model. The record is from RNAcentral. Lineage: Bacteria; Bacillati; Bacillota; Bacilli; Caryophanales; Bacillaceae.